UACGGAGUGUGCAAGCGUUAAUCGGAAUUACUGGGCGUAAAGCGUGCGCAGGCGGUUUGUUAAGUCCGCUGUGAAAUCCCCGAGCUCAACUUGGGAAUUGCAGUGGAUACUGGCAAGCUGGAGUAUGGUAGAGGAAGGUGGAAUUCCCGGUGUAGCAGUGAAAUGCGUAGAGAUCGGGAGGAACACCAGUGGCGAAGGCGGCCUUCUGGACCAAUACUGACGCUCAUGCACGAAAGCGUGGGGAGCAAACAGG
This 253-nucleotide ribosomal RNA is filed under the name uncultured bacterium. Its description in RNAcentral is "partial 16S ribosomal RNA". It matches the Rfam family "Bacterial small subunit ribosomal RNA", at positions 524 to 776 of the family's 1533-position model. The record is from RNAcentral.